RNAcentral lists this long non-coding RNA (7944 nucleotides) under Homo sapiens (human). Its description in RNAcentral is "HSALNT0313706". Lineage: Eukaryota; Metazoa; Chordata; Mammalia; Primates; Hominidae. The record is from RNAcentral.
GUGAAUGAAACUAUUGAACUAACCUUGGAGCUGACCUGACAUAUUAGAGGUUCUUAGCAUCAUUAAAUUCCUAAUUUUGACUUAUCAGUCAUCAGCUGGUUGUAGUUUCAGAGUAUUAUCUCUUUCUUCUUAGUGUCUCUGAAUAUGUGCUUUUUUUUGUAAUUAAGAUUCUUCACUUGUUAAUACUUCUGGCCAAUGGAAUGCAAACUAACAUCUGUUGCAUGGUCAGGCAACACUAGCAACACUGGAUUAUUCCAUGCCUGGACUAUGCUACUUUCAGGCUUUUGUGCUUCAAUUACGCUGUUUGCUCUGCUUCUCAUAAUGCUCCCUCAUGUUUUCUUCUUUGCUCCUCAACUCAGAGAAUUCUAGCUCAUUCUUCAAGGCCAAGAUCAAAUAUCACUUCCUCCAAGAAGCCUUUCUCAACCCUACUUUUCCUCUUUGCCAUGAUUCUCCAUCAUUUCAUAGGUCUAGUUAUCUCUCCCAUGAUGCUUUGUUCAUACUGCUAACAAAAUGUGUCAGUAGAUAUUUGUUUCUACAUAAUAGUUUCCUCUUCUAUCACAUUAGCUUGGAGAAAAUGAAAUUUGUCCUGAGUAUAUUUGCAUGUCUGUAUUAGGGUUCUCUAGAGAGACAGAACUAAUAGGAUAGAGAGAUAGGUGGAUUGGCUCAUGUGAUUAAAGAGGCUGAGACGUUCCUCGAUAGACCAUCUGUAAGCCUGGAGACACAGGGAUGCCAGUAGCAUGGUUGUCCAAACUGGAGGGCCUCAGAACCAGGGAAGCCCUUGGUGCACCUCUCACUCUAAGGCUGAAGACCUAAGAAGCCAGGAGGCCACUGGUGCAAGUCUCAGAGUUCAAAGGCUGGAGAACCUAGAGUUCUGAUGGCCAAGGACAGGACGAGAAGGGUGUCUCAGCUCCAGGAGAGAGAGCAAGAGAGCCUUUCCUCUGCCUUUUCACUCUAUCCAGACCCCCAGCCGGUUAGAUGGUGCCCACCCACAUUGAAGGAGGAUCUCCCCAACUCAGUCCACGAACUCACAUGCCAAUAUCCUCUGGAAAUACCCUCAUAGACACACUCAGAAAUAAUGAUUUAGCACCCAUCUCUUAAUCCAGUCAAGUUAAUACCUAAAAUUAACCAUCACAAUCUCCAAAGUCAAACAUAGUGCCUGGUGGAGACCUACGUGUGUCGAAUCAAUCAAGAAAACUUACAGUGUGGUAUGUAGUAUACAGAGUCACUUUAGCCUAGGUUUGAGUUAUAGGUCAAGCCACUUACUACCUGUUAACCUUGGACACAUUAUUUAAACUUUCUGAGCACUUGUUUUCUCAUUUGUAAAGCGAAGAUGUUAAAAAUAAUAUAAAUUAACUUUUGAACAUGGCUUGAGAAUGUAAUAAGUUAACACCUUUACAGUUAUGUAGAGCAGUGCCUGAGGCACAGUAGGCACACAAUAAAUAUUAGCCCUUAUUAUAAUAAUCAUCUUAUAUAGUGAGAUUGGUCUCCUAGAAGGGCAGUGAAAAUAUUAUCAAAAGAAUCACCAAUUGCUGCUCAGGAGCAUUGAAGGAGCACCUUGAGUUGGAGAAGUGUCAACAAUUUUGAUUGAAGCUAGAUGAGCGUGUCUAUGCCUAGUGGGCAGGCCUUAAUUUGCUGCUUCUUCACAUUUCACUGGCGAUUAAAUGCUGAGGGACCCAUGUCUCUGAUACCUGGCUUGGAGCCCAGUCUCCUGGGAUGCUAUUUCAACUUGACCCAGCUAUAAAAGCAUAGGAACCCCAGUCAUCAGAUAAAGCAGUAGAGCAACGAAGGUCUGUGCUGUCUGGUCAAGGGUUAGAUUUGGAUGGUUAGGGAGCUGGAAGAUAUUGGUAUGGGAUUGUGGGGUUGGAGAGAUGGAUUUGGCUUAGGAGAACAGAAGGAAGGCUCCAGCAGCAGGAAAUCAUUUUCUUGCUAGCCUGUGUUCCAAUUAGGGGCAAAUAUUAGAAGCAGGAACUGCCUCAAGGUAGGAGGAUAAUAGGACUGAGGGUUUUAGGUAAGGGAUAUCCUGCCACAGAGAUGACAAUGUGAUCUGGUAUGCGUUUUCCUCUGCAUGUCAAAUGAAUAACAAGGAUUAAUUUGCUUCCGCCACAAGAUGCACAACAUUCUCUACUCCUCCCUCUGCUGUGGCUGCUGGAGGCCACUCAUGUAGGGCACCCAUAUUCAUGACAGCUUGAAAGCACUAGAGAAAGCCAGCUUCUAUAUUACAUUGCAAAAUUGCAGCAGGCUUAUUUCUUUGAGAGCACAUACUGUUUUGAGUCCUGAGAAGUCCCUUUUGUAUCUUGCCUACCUCUCCUCUUUGAGAGCCUGUAACAUACGUGCAGUGGGCAUAAACCACACACCAAGCCCUCGCUGUGCUAGUGGAUUUACUUUCGAUUGCUACUACAACAAAUUACUACAAAUUUAGGGGCUUAAAACAACACCCAUUUAUUAUCUCACAGUUCUGUAGGUCAGAAGUCCAGUAGGCGCAGCUGGUUUCUCUGUUUCAAGUCUCACAAGACUGAAAUCAAGGCAUUCGCUGAGCUGCUUUCCCUUCCGGAGGCUCUAGGGGAGAGUCCAUUUCCAGGUUAAUCCAGGUAGUCGGCAGAAAUCAAUGUCUAUAGAACUGAGGUCUGUUUCCUUUGCUGGCUGCCAUCUGGGCAUCUCCCUUGGUAUUUAGAGGCCUCUUUUGAGUCAUUGUAGGUAGUCUCUGCACACCCAAAACUAGGAAUGGCAUAUUAAAUUCUUCUGACCCUGGAUCUCUUCUGUCUCCGCUUCUUGUGCUGCAUCUCUAUGACCAACUCUUCUGCCUUCCACUUCUGCUUUUAAGUGAUUAGAUGGGCCCCCUUGGUAAUCCAAGAUAAUCUUCCUAUUUUAAGGUCUGUAAUCUCAAUCACAUCCACACUGUCUCUUUUGCCACGUAAAGUAACAUAUUCACAAGUUCCCAGAGAUUAGGGCUUGGAAAUCUUUGGGGGACAUUAUUCUGCCUACCACAGCUAGGUUAUUUUCAUAUUUUUCUCCCUUAAUCCAUGUAACAGCCUCGUAAAGAAAGCAUUGUUAUACUCAUCAUAUACGAAUAGUAACUGAGGUUCAGAGAGGUUCCUAUUACAACUGAUAAACGGGGGAGCUGGGGUUUGAAUCUUGCUUCAGAGCUCACACUCCGUCCUCUGCCAGAGAUGGAGGGGUGGAAGAAAAGCCAUCAUGUGACCUGCCACUCUCAUUGCAUUUCCCACCAUUGUUUCACUAGGGCUGCUUCUCAACUUAGCAAGGUCGUCACUCUGUCCACCAAAGAUUUCUAACUCUCCUCCUGGGUAUGUGGUAUGUGUGUCUCCUGGGUCUCAUCAGAACACACAUGGCACGCUCAAAUGAAGUUAUUGAGAAGAGAUUAAUAAAAGGACUGUUUACAAGGUUGUGAGUGGGGCAAUGUAAAACCAACAAGGAAUGACAGAGCAUGUUGGCUAACAACAGCUAUUGCACCCCACGCCUGGAGGAGUAUAGGGAAGAAACAGUUACUAGAACCCCAAGAGAAAGGAGAAACUGAAGGAGGGGAUGCCUGGCUGGAGCUGUGGCCUUCAAUAGUGGAACACCGCUACAACCAGCCUGGCAGGGAGGCUUCUGUGGAUUUCUGAGAGAGCGGAGGAGGAGCAUGUACAAUCACCACAAGCUCCAUGGCUGACCAGCACAGGCAUUAGGCAGAAAAGUCAGAAAAGUGUUGUAUAAGAUUCACAUAGAAAUAAGGACAAGAACAAGAACUGCACAAGAGUUGACACUGGAGACUGGAAUGCUACUCAAAGAACAGAAUUCCCCCAAACAUCCAAGAUGACCCCUAGCAACUGAAUUAUCUUGACAUCACCUCAGCAGUAGAGUGCUGUUAGGUAACUCUGGCAAGGGUAUACAUAUAAUCUGCUUCAACAGUCCUUAUUCCCACCAACCAACUCAACUAUUCCUGCCCUUUAUUUAUCUUUUCGUUACAGCUUCCUUAUACUUUUGCCCACUUCUAAUUUCAAUAUACCCAAUGGCUUUUCACAACAUCUACAGUUGACUUUCUCUCUGGGUAUCUUCUGCUCCUGCUCCAUCUUCCAAAUGCUCAAACUAAUUUGUGCAUUAAAUGUAAAAAAAAAAAAAAUCACCCGAAGAGGGCAUAUCAUUCCUUCAAUUAAUCACCAGCAUCCCUGUUUUGACACAGAUUUUGUGCCAUGCUGUCCAUAUCGCACCGGCCAGUCUACAUGUUAUUUGACUUUGAGUUCACUUCCCACUUUUGGCAAGCCUGGCUGUUGUUCUGUAGCAGGGUAACACAGGCUAAGAAUUGAGAUAUGUCAACUUAAGGAUUCACCGUGGUCAAGUUUCCUCUGCAGAAGACCAUGGAAGUGUGUCAUGGGCAUUCUGACUCUUGCCUUCUUCAAAAUAGCCCCACUAACAGAUGUCAGCAACUGAUUCCUUUGGAAGGAUAAACAAAUGGUAUAACCAGAUAAGGCUUUGAAGGCUUUGCAAUGGACCCCAAAUUAUAACUAGUUACACAGAAAUUUAAAGAAUGGAAUGAAUCUCUGUUUGGAUAGAUGUCCUAUAUAUUGCAGGCAUAACAGAACUGACCUUCCUCCCAGCCCUGUCGUGAGGAUGAAAUCCUGUGUGGAGCACUUUGAAAUCUUUGGAUGAAAAGCACGACAGAAGUGCCAAGUAUGAUUGUUACCCGUGCCAGCCACACUAGAAGACAGCAUAAAAAUAGGAAGCAAAGAAAAUUUCAUUUUACAAAAGCUUCAGUGAGAAAAUUGGCUGGUCAGAAUGUCAUUCCCUAGUUUUGGUUCACAUACACGUUGUCUUUUAUAAAAUUAAAGGAAAAAAAUAAUUGUACACAUUUUUGUCUUUGCCGGGAAGAAGCCCUUUGAUCAUCACCAUCCCUGCGACGCCAGGAAUCGAAGCCAUAAAGUCUGAGGGGGUGUUACAGGUUGAGGAUUAGGGAGUGUCUAAACCUUGACAUCGUCACAACAUAGGAUCCGAGAUACCUCCAGCUAAAACAGAGACUGUGCUUUCAGAACUGGCCCUGCACGCAGCCUCUACUCCAGUGCUCUCAGGUCCUGUCCUUAAUAGGAGAACAUGAGAGCUGCAGAUUUAAAAACCCAAGAGGGAACCUUUGCAACAACCUUUGUUAUAUUAGGAAUCCCAAAAUAAGCUAGAAGAGAGGAAUUUGAAUGUUCUCAACACAAAUGAUAAAUGUUUGAGAUGAUGGAUAUGCUAAAUACACUUAUUUGAUCAUUAAACAUCGUAUACAGAGGGCUCCCAUAAUUGUAUAAGCCUCAUGCCUCACAAAACCUGAAGGUGCCUUUGGUGAGGAGGAUCAUCAGAACACCAGCAGAGUACCUCGACGUGUGAAAUCUAGCACUGGAUUCCAUCCCUGACUUUUCCUAAGAAUCACUGUGAAUGCUCUGGACAAAUUGCUGCUGCGCUGGGUGCUCCCUGUGUCAUCACACUUCCUAAUUGUACUUCUGGGUCCUCUGAAGCUGUUCCCAGUGCUUAAUCGUAAGAAAAGAAGCUCCAAAUACUAGUUCAGAAACUCAGGUAGAAAGAGACCUUAAAUGUCAUGUCCAGCCACUCUUCUGAUGCUUGAGUCUUCUCUUCAGGAGGCAUCUGGGCCUGGGCUUGGACCCCUUGCCUCAGUCAACCCAUUAGAAGUGUCUUUCCUUGUCUUGAGUCAAAACCAGUCCACUGCUACUGGCAUUGCUCUAUACUUCCAGGCUGUACAGAAGAUGUCUAACCUUUCAGAUGAGAAUGGCAGAGGAAAGCAAGAAGAAAGAAACUUUAAUUGUUCCUCAACUUCCCAAUUAGGCACACCAUUAGGGGUUUUUAAUAUGGUUCUUGAUUUAAUCUUCUCAUUAACUUUCUGAUGUAAGUAUUAUUAUUUUAUUCUAGGGUUCCCAGAUGUAGCAAAUAAAAAUAGAGGAUAUCCAGUUAUAUCUGAAUUUCAGAUCAAAACAAAUGAUUUUUAAAUAAAACAUACACUCCCAAAAGUGUGAAAUUAAUUUGUCCUUGGACAAGAGAUAUGGAAAUGUCAUGUAUUUUACCUGGAAAUCCUGUUAUUAUGCCCAUUUUUGGAGCUGAGGAAACUAAAGGUAGGAGCCUAGGUAAGUAGUGGAGCUGGAAUCUAAGCCCAGGUCCUUGAUUUCAAAGCACAACCCCAUGCCCCACAAUAUCAUACACUGAUUUAGUAUCUGCCUCCUACCUACCCCCAAGAAAAAUGUGAAAUUAAUUUGUCUUUAGAAAGGAGCUACCAAAGCUAUAAAAACAAAACAAAUGUAUUUGCAGCUAAGAGAAGACAAUCUCCAGGAAACUACUGCUUCAGUUAUUUGACACUGGGCAGAAUUUUUGGUGAGAAAUCAGCAAGAUCAUAGCCUGGAGUGAACACUGGAGGCAUGAGAUGUCCUUGAGAAAGAGGCUAGAACAGAGGGUGGAACGCCCCUUCUAUUAAAGCAGUUGUUUUCCAGGGUCUCUGGAAAGCUCCUUCCUUUGUCGUGGCGGUGGUGGGGAAGGGGAGGCUGGGACCCUAAUGCAUGACUUUCCACCUGGGUGUCACUGGCACCUGAUGUCCUAAUCAUAUUUCCCUGUCACCUCUCAGUGCUGAUUUACUUUCUCCUCCCAUUCUACAUGCUGCAGAACUAAUUGCCUGCCUAAUUGCCAAAACGAAUUGCUGUGACAUUCAUUGUUCAUCUGCUCCUUUCUCCGGCUUGAGCUCAGGCAGGUGGCUCCCAUGAAGGCAAGGGUGGAAUUAUUCCUGCUUUAGGGCCAGGAUGCUUCAGAGUGAUGGCCCAACAAUUAUCUUCCUCAUGGAGGCGGACCAAGGAAUCACCUUCCUCAUUGAGCAGGGGACAAUAAUUCUUGGCAGGGGUUCCCCUUCUUCUGCUGUAAGAUUGGGUAGCUUUGACAGGUUGUGAGUCAGUUAAAUUGUACUUUUCAGGGAGUUCCUCUCUCCCAUUUGGAGAUUAGGAUUAGAUUUGUUGGUUAAGAAACUGACCGAGAGAGGAGAGACAGCUCCUUGCUGGCCACAUAGCUCAUUCAUGGUGAAGUUGAAUCUGGGGCUCAGAUAUCCCAAUUCAUAGCCCAGAAUGAUUUCUACUGCACCACACCACAACUGUUGCAGUUGCACUAAUUACGGUUUUAUAUUUCCUUAUAAACUUUUAUUAAACCCCUAUCAAAUAGUAUGUCCUCAUUGGUAGCAAGAAUAAUAAAUAUUUAUUGAGUUGUUAUGAAUAUUAAGCCUACUUUUUUUUCAUGUAAUCCUGAAAAAAGGCAACAUGACAGAGAUGCUCUCAGUAUCCUUAUUUUAUAUCAGGGAAAGUGGAGGCAGAGGGAGGUUAAUAACUUGCCCAGGUCUGACACCAGAUCCCAUCCUCUUACCCCCACAAGCCCAUGUGCAGAUUCCUCCUGACAGCUUCUGGAUUCUGAUACACGAAAGAACUUAUGAAGAUGACUUGAAGGCUGGAGCUGGCGCAACAUGAAACUAAUCAACCAGAUUAUGCAAAUUAUUAUGUAAACUCCUAUUAUUGAGCCAGGAUUCAUGACAGCCCCUUUUUUCCAACGCUGCUGAGAUAAAAGCAAAUGGAUUGCAACACUAGCUUGGGAUGAAUUCAGGGAGCUUGGAAAGAAUUCCUGGGAUUUUCUGGGCAGUGGAAAAGACAGUGGGUUGGGAGUCAAGAACCUGAAGUUUAGUUCCGGAUCUGGCAUUAGGUAGCUGCAUGGCCCUGGGAGGACCUAUGUGCCUCAGUUUCUUCAACUGUGAAACGAGAUAAGACUCCAUGCUCUGGAAGACCCCUGCCAUUCUAGGCAUCUCGGAUGGCAUGUCCAAGAUGGAAGCACACAAUGGCAGAGGCUUGUAGCGACCUUCAGGACAGCUUUCCAGUAGCUGUAAAUAAAAGUCUUAUUGUUUGGUUCUUGGUCUUUCCCCCCUCUCAGUGACAGGAAGAA